UCCACCAGCGAUACCAAUGAUGCCUCAGCAACUUAUGCGAUAUAUCCCACAAAAUGGCCAGGGAAACAACAACAUGGCGAAGCCUGAUCAAACUAAACCUCCGCCUGAUCAAACUAAACCUUCGCCUGAUAAAACUAAACCUUAAUAUAAGCUUUGGCUUUGUGGCGUGUUAUGAUCAUCGGAAUGUUGAAUCGUUUCUUUAUAUAUAGAAAGUUUCGUUGUGAACUCAGAUGUAUCCAUAGUUUUACAAUAAGGGUUUAGUUGAUGCCCACAAUAUGUGAAAACACUUUCCUCUGUUCUGUUAUGGUUGAGCAUUGUUCCUCUGUUAUGUUCUGUUUUGCUCAACCUUUUUAUCUUUUUCUGUAUGUAAGAUAAAUAAACAUGAAAAAUAUAUAAAUAUACGUGUGGUGGCACGGUUGUAUUGGAUC
Molecule: non-coding RNA, 428 nt
Organism: Camelina sativa (false flax)
Lineage: Eukaryota; Viridiplantae; Streptophyta; Magnoliopsida; Brassicales; Brassicaceae
Source: RefSeq, a predicted model, not a curated record